Galleria mellonella (greater wax moth) is the source of this 2407-nucleotide long non-coding RNA. RefSeq lists it as uncharacterized. The record is from RefSeq and is a predicted model, not a curated record. Lineage: Eukaryota; Metazoa; Arthropoda; Insecta; Lepidoptera; Pyralidae. The transcript has 2 exons.
UUUGGCAGGAUAUUGUUUGUUUCAACGUAUUUCAGCAACUGAGUAUGAACGGCUUUCUCCAAGACUUUGGACAGAAAGGAUAGAAUACUUAUUGGUCUGAGAUCAUUAAACUCGGCAGGAUUAUUAAUUUUGGAUAAAGGAGUAACCAAUGCAUGUUUCCAUUGACUAGGAACUUUAGACGUAACAAUAGAUUUAUUAAUUAUGUUGGUUAUAAUUGCUAGUGUACGAGGAAGAGUCAAUAGUAUCAUGUCUCUACUCACCCGAUCACUACCCAAUGCAUUAGAUUUUAUUGCCGAGAUAUACCUAGCAACAUCACUCUCUGACACCGGCUGCAAUCGAAAACCAGCUGUACCAUACCUAUGAAACUCAUAGUAAGUGAGUUUUGAUAAAGACACAUUAUUCGGUCCAGGUACAUUUAAAAAAUGUGCAUUAAUGUUGUCGGGGUUAUUGAAAAAGGACGGUAGUAUAUCACUUUUAGGGGAGUCCACGGAAAUAUUUUCCUUUAACUUUUUCCAGAAUAUUUUACCAUUACUUUGUUGAGAGUUUAUAUGAUAAUUAUAGUAAGCUCGCUUUUCCCGAUCGAUACUACUGUGAACGAGAUUUUUAAGGUCUUUAUAAUAUUUAUUGUGUACCUCCAAUCCUGUCCUCCUAUACAUUAACAGUGCUUUAUUACGCAAGUCAAUCAUACGUCUGAUGGUAUCGGUUACCCAUGGUAGUGAAUGUUUGCCAUUAAUUUUAAUCCUUUUUUCAGGAGCAUGUCCAUCAAAAAGGAAUAGCAACAUCGAGUUAAAAGUGUCGACCAUCAAGUCAACACAAGGCAGGCUAUUUAUGUAUUCCCAAUUUAUAGAAUUUAAAUGUAGAUUAAAAUAUUCCAGGUUAAUAUCCCUGAUGGGUCGAUGUAUAAAAUAUUUAAUUGGCAUUUUACACUUUUUUAUUGUGAGUUCGAAAUUAAUCAUCGCAUGCCCCAAGGAACCUCUAAUAAAAUUGUUCGAAAUACUGCGGACCGGUGCAUUAGUACACACUAGGUCAAUAAGCGUUUCAGUGUCGGUUGACAAGUGUGUUGGCUCAGUGACUAUUUGCGUGAGGCUAGUAUAGUGUAGAAACUCUACUAUUUUUUGUGCAUUAUUAUUAUGCAAAUUCAGCAUAUUAACAUUUAAAUCUCCCAUAAAAACCGUAUAGUCAUAAUUAGAAAAAUAAGUCACAGUUUCCGUUAUAGCAUCCAAAAAAUUAUCAAUGUUCAUCCAUUGAGGACGAUAUGCCGUACCGAUUAAUAUAUUGUAGCAAUUAAUACGCGUAGACAACCACAUCUGUUCGAUACUAGCCGCUGGGUGUUUGAGUAUGCGCACACGCACAUUACGUUUCACGUAGAAGGCUAGUCCCCCCCGCGGCCGGCGCGCAUGCUUACCGGUCGCGGUGAGCUAUACAGUCUGUAGUCGGCGACGGCGGGCGCACAUCCCUCCUCACCCGAGCGAAGCCAUGUUUCAUUUAUUGCAAUGAAGUCGGCGUUGAAACGAUUCACUGCAACUAUAAAUUCGUCUCGUGCUGUAUUGAGUGACCCGGCAUUGUAUAGACCUAACUUAAUGAACUUAUUUGAAUUGAAGAAUUGUAUGAUGUAUAAAAAUAAAUACCACAAAGGAGUCAACACAAGAUUAUGUGAAUAUAUGGAUGAUACAAUAAAAAGUAUAUACAUUAUGAUAAAAAUUGAAUAGAUUUUACUCAGUAUGCUAUACAACACCGACAAAAUGGAAUAAAUAAUAUAAAAUUCAUAACUAAAGUUUAAGUAAAAUACUGUGGAUAUAUAGAUACCGAUAUUGACAUAUGAAGUGACCUUCAGUGGACUUAUACUUACCUUAUUCGUUUUGAAUUUGAGUUGAGCCAACUGCGUCAGACCCAAAAACCCUAAGAAGGUCCCGAUCAGUUCGAAUGCGCAGAGGAAGAGCAUCCGUACCGUGGUCUUGUCUUACAAAUAUUCUACCACUGCUGGUCCACACGAACCGCCAGUUGAAGCGCCCAGCAAGUUCCCGUGUCCGUCGAAACAGGAGACGAUUGACCCUUGUCAACCUUUCGUUAACAUAGAAACGCUGUGGUGGCCCGGGCAGACCGGUGUCUGAUGUGGUGGCACCCCUCCGUACGCGAGCAGCUUUAAGCAGUUGAUCACGAAGAACUCUGCGGCCAAGUCGAAUAACAAUGAGACGGGGACGAGAAUGUUUAGACGAUGAUGACGACGACUCCUGCGGCGCCUGUACUGGACCAACCCGCAUGACGCUGACCAGAUCCUCGUCAACCAACUUGACACCCAACUUGCUUGCAAUAGUCAUGACAAUGUGAGGCAGACUUUCACCCUUCUGUUCGAUAAUGCCCGAAAUCUCGAUGUCGUUUAAUAAACACUCUUGGUCUCUAUCAUUGA